ACGGAAGGCAGCAGUGGGGAAUAUUGCACAAUGGGGGAAACCCUGAUGCAGCGACGCCGCGUGGGUGAUGAAGUAUUUCGGUACGUAAAACCCUAUCAGCAGGGAAGAUAAUGACGGUACCUGACUAAGAAGCCCCGGCUAAAUACGUGCCAGCAGCCGCGGUAAUACGUAUGGGGCAAGCGUUAUCCGGAUUUACUGGGUGUAAAGGGAGCGCAGGCGGUUUUGCAAGUUGGGUGUGAAAACCCAGGGCUCAACCUUGGGAUUGCACCCAAAACUGUAAGACUAGAGUGUCGGAGGGGCAAGCGGAAUUCCUAGUGUAGCGGUGAAAUGCGUAGAUAUUAGGAGGAACACCGGUGGCGAAGGCGGCUUGCUGGACGAUGACUGACGCUGAGGCUCGAAAGCGUGGGGAGCAAACAGGAUUAGAUACCCUGGUA
RNAcentral lists this ribosomal RNA (434 nucleotides) under uncultured Lachnospiraceae bacterium. RNAcentral describes it as "partial 16S ribosomal RNA". It matches the Rfam family "Bacterial small subunit ribosomal RNA", at positions 341 to 792 of the family's 1533-position model. The record is from RNAcentral. Lineage: Bacteria; Bacillati; Bacillota; Clostridia; Lachnospirales; Lachnospiraceae.